RNAcentral lists this ribosomal RNA (222 nucleotides) under uncultured bacterium. RNAcentral describes it as "partial 16S ribosomal RNA". It matches the Rfam family "Bacterial small subunit ribosomal RNA", at positions 15 to 217 of the family's 1533-position model. The record is from RNAcentral.
GAUCAUGGCUCAGGACGAACGCUGGCGGCGUGCUUAACACAUGCAAGUCGAACGAGAAUCUGUGGAAAGAGGAUUCGUCCAAUUGAAGCAGAGGACAGUGGCGGACGGGUGAGUAACGCGUGAGGAACCUGGCCUUUCAGAGGGGGACAACAGUUGGAAACGACUGCUAAUACCGACAUAACGACAUAGGUGUCGCAUGGCACUUAUGUCAAAGAUUUAUCG